This 74-nucleotide transfer RNA is filed under the name Streptococcus sp. LYSM12. RNAcentral describes it as "tRNA-Arg". It matches the Rfam family "tRNA". Rfam says of the family: Transfer RNA (tRNA) molecules are approximately 80 nucleotides in length. Their secondary structure includes four short double-helical elements and three loops (D, anti-codon, and T loops). The record is from RNAcentral. RNAcentral also lists the same sequence under 3 other names. Lineage: Bacteria; Bacillati; Bacillota; Bacilli; Lactobacillales; Streptococcaceae.
GGGAACAUAGCUCAGUUGGAAAGAGCAUACGAUUUCUAAUCGUACGGUCGCAGGUUCGAGUCCUACUGUUCCUG